Molecule: ribosomal RNA, 487 nt
Filed under: uncultured bacterium
Lineage: Bacteria
Description: bacterial SSU rRNA
Rfam family: Bacterial small subunit ribosomal RNA
Source: RNAcentral
CUGGCGGCGUGCCUAACACAUGCAAGUCGAACGGAAACUAGGCGCUUCGGAGACUUCGGUCAAUGUUUGCUUAGUUUAGUGGCGGACGGGUGAGUAACGCGUGGAUAACCUGCCUCGAUACAGGGGGAUAACAGUUAGAAAUGACUGCUAAUACCGCAUAAGCGCACGGGAUCGCAUGUUCCUGUAGUGAAAAAACUCCGGUGGUAUGAGAUGGAUCCGCGUCUGAUUAGCCAGUUGGCGGGGUAACGGCCCACCAAAGCGACGAUCAGUAGCCGGCCUGAGAGGGUGAACGGCCACAUUGGGACUGAGACACGGCCCAAACUCCUACGGGAGGCAGCAGUGGGGGAUAUUGCACAAUGGGGGAAACCCUGAUGCAAGCGACGCCGCGUGAGUGAAGAAGUAUUUCGGUAUGUAAAGCUCUAUCAGCAGGGAAGAUAAUGACGGUACCUGACUAAGAAGCACCGGCUAAAUACGUGCCAGCCGCCGC